Physeter macrocephalus (sperm whale) is the source of this 2033-nucleotide long non-coding RNA. RefSeq lists it as uncharacterized. The transcript is spliced from 3 exons. The record is from RefSeq and is a predicted model, not a curated record. Lineage: Eukaryota; Metazoa; Chordata; Mammalia; Artiodactyla; Physeteridae.
GUUAAAACCAUGACAUGCUGUGCAGCUAACCAAUCUCUUACACUGAGGGGUGUGGGGUCGGGGUGAGGGAACAGCAACAAAAUAUAAAUUGAAAACAAAAUGAAUUUGUUUCCUGAAACAAAGCCAAAAUCUGAAUAAUCCUUAGGUAAUAACCAUUUAUGCAGCUGACAGUUUUCCAAGUUUUUCUUUCUACCCUUUUAAAGUAACAUGGGAAUCUGGUCCAAUUUUAAAGCCAGAGAUUACUCAGAACUAUUUUUAGGUCAUUUCAUCCCAUUUUUAGUUGACUUGUGUAACCUAGGCGGUAUUUUCAUUUCAAAGCUGCAGCGGAAGACAUGCCUGAGUUCUCUGCGCACCAGUGCCAGGAUGCAAGCCGCCGCCCUCCCAGGAAACUGGCCAGUGAUAUUCCAUCUCCCUUCCUGCUGCUGGCUUCUUGACGGAAGAAGAUACAGACACAGAGGAGAAGGUCACGUGAAGACAAAGGCAGAGACUGGAAUGAUAACUCUACAAGCCACAGAACGCCAGGAACUGCCAGAGGCUGGAAGAUGCAGAGAUCCUCCCCCAGAACCUCCAGAGGAAGCGUGGCCCUGCCGACACCCUGAUGAUGGACUUCUGGCCUCCAGAACUCUGUUCCAGUGGGGCUGACGUGGAUCUCCCUGUGGGUACCACUCAUCUUUGAAGCAGUCAGUAUCAUCAUGUCCUGCUGCAGCGGAGAAAGGAAGGAAGGUCUGUGCUGCUGGAGGGUGCAAGGGCUCCCUCCAAGCUCCGAAAGCUCGUGCCCAGUCUCCUGACUCAAUUACUUCCCCACCAAAGCAAUACCGUCUCUGCUUGUAUGAAGGAAUAAAGAUGUACAUUUGUACAGUACAUUUGUACAGACGUACAUUUAAGUACAUUAGGUACUUAAAAUGAUUUGAAAUAUUGGUUGUGCUCUUCCUAUGAAGUAAAGAACAAACUUUUUCUCCAUGGUGCCUUCUGUGUAAUACUUAAGCUGAGAAUGGACAGUUUGCCUGGUAUUGUCCUGGAGCUUCACAUAGCUCAUUUAAGCUAUACAACAACUGUAAAUUAGGUAUUCUUUUUCUAAUCUACUACAGUCAAGAUAACUGAAGCUCAGUGAAGUUAGAUACUCCUGCACUCUGCCUAGGGAGUGAAGUCAGUCUGUCACAGCUGAGCAGCCCAACUCCAAGGAAUGAAUGAGCCACUGACACCUACUGCUAAUUCCAGGGGCCAGAUGCAACUCUGCUGUUCAAGAGAUGGAAACAGGGACAUCCAGGAGUGAAAAUGCAAGAUGCACAGAGAGGGGUAAUUCUCCAAUCCUUUCUCAGCGUCCAAAAAGCUCAUCUUGUUUGGGAUUUCCUUCAAAAAACUAUAGAAUGGAGGUUGGAAAGGGAGUGAGACUGUAAAUGAAAUAAGAUUAGCCAGAAUCUGGUAAUUGUUGAUGGUAACUGAUAAAUACCUGAGCAUCUAAAAAGUAAAUUACAGUCUCAAACUAUCUCCCUCAAAAUAUUUACUAAUUACAAAAAGGGAAAUAGUAAGUUUACAGUGGAGAAUCCUGGCACACACUACCCUAGCCUAGGAUUAACAUCAUGUACCCCCCACCCCGAGUCAAGGUUAAUAUCAUGUACCCCCGAGAUGGUGCAACAAGAAGAGCCUAUCACCUCUGUGGUAUUCAUCCCCAAAACGCACAAGCUCAAUGUAAUCAUGAGAAAACAUCAGACAGACCCAAAGUAAGGGACAUUCUACAAAAUACCUGACCAGUACUCUUCAAAAGUGUCAAGGUCAUAAAAGACAAGGAUAGACAGAGGAAUUGUCACAGCCUGGAAGGAAACAUGACAAAUAAUUGCAAGGUGAUAUCCUGGACUGGAACUCAAACAGAAAAAUGACAUCUGUGAAAAGACUAGUAAAACCAAAUAAGUUCUGCAAAUUUGGUUAAUAGUGGUGCAGGAAAGAGUUAACACAGUGGCCCUUGUGCUUAUCCUUAGAAAGACCUGCUGCAAGGUGUUCCUUGACUGGCUUCUGGGAACUGGGUACUAGGAAUA